GAUGAGCGCUGGCGGCGUGCCUAAUACAUGCAAGUCGAGCGGAAAGGCCUCUUCGGAGGUACUCGAGCGGCGGACGGCUGAGUAACGCGUAGGAAUGUACCCCAAAGUGAGGGAUAACUGCUCGAAAGAGUAGCUAAUACCGCAUGUGAUCUUCGGAUUAAAGCUUUUGCGCUUUGGGAACAGCCUGCGUAUGAUUAGCUAGUUGGUGAGGUAAUGGCUCACCAAGGCGAUGAUCAUUAGCUGGUCUGAGAGGAUGAUCAGCCAGACUGGGACUGAGACACGGCCCAGACUCCUACGGGAGGCAGCAGUAGGGAAUUUUCCACAAUGGGGGCAACCCUGAUGGAGCAGCGCCGCGUGCAGGAUGAAUGCCUUCGGGUUGUAAACUGCUUUUAUGUGCGAAGAAUUUGACCGUAACACAUGAAUAAGGAUCGGCUAACUACGUGCCAGCAGCCGCGGUAA
Molecule: ribosomal RNA, 459 nt
Filed under: uncultured bacterium
Lineage: Bacteria
Description: partial 16S ribosomal RNA
Rfam family: Bacterial small subunit ribosomal RNA
Source: RNAcentral